This 391-nucleotide unclassified non-coding RNA is filed under the name soil metagenome. RNAcentral describes it as "partial contains 5.8S ribosomal RNA, internal transcribed spacer 2, and large subunit ribosomal RNA". The stretch from base 1 to 122 matches the Rfam family "5.8S ribosomal RNA", at positions 35 to 154 of the family's 154-position model. The record is from RNAcentral.
GAUGAAGAACGCAGCGAAAUGCGAUACUUGGUGUGAAUUGCAGAAUCCCGUGAACCAUCGAGUCUUUGAACGCAAGUUGCGCCCGAAGCCACUAGGCCGAGGGCACGCCUGCCUGGGCGUCACACGUCGUUGCCCCCCCAUCUACUCCUUCGGGAUUGCGGGGGGCGGAUGAUGGCCUCUCGUGCGCCUCGUCGCGCGGUUGGCCUAAAUGCCAAGUCCUCGGCGACGCACGCCACGACAAUCGGUGGUUGCGAAACCUCGGUUGCCUGUCGUGUGCGGUCGUCGCGCAUCGAGGGCUCGAAAAAAUUGCCGGGCUUCGGCUCGACUUUCAACGCGACCCCAGGUCAGGCGGGGUUACCCGCUGAAUUUAAGCAUAUCAAUAAGCGGAGGA